UUUGGAUGAAGGUUGUGUUGAAAUGGGAGUGAAUGAUCUAACAAAGUAUGAACUCAAUUUAUGUUACACACACUUCCUUUUAUAGAGGAAGUGCAAGGCAAAGCAUGGGUAAAAUGGAGUGGUGUUGAAAUGAUUCAAAGGUGAAAGUGAAGUAAUGAUGCAAAGCAUGGGUAAAAUGGAGUGGUGUUGAAAUGAUUUAAAGGUGAAAGUGAAGUAAUGAUGCAAAGCAUGGGUAAAAUGGAGUGGUGUUGAAAUGAUUCAAAGGUGAAAGUGAAGUAAUGAUGCAAAGCAUGGGUAAAAUGGAGUGGUGUUGAAAUGAUUUAAAGGUGAAAGUGAAGUAAUGAUGCAAAGCAUGGGUAAAAUGGAGUGGUGUUGAAAUGAUUCAAAGGUGAAAGUGAAGUGAUGAUUGAUGCAAGAAUUAAACAUGGAUGGAGUGCACGGCAAAGGUUUGUUAUGGUACAAGGAACCCUUAAUUUGUGUCCUAAAAUGCAUAGGAAACCUUCAAUGUUGCUGGAACUUAGGGACAUUUAGGAUUUAGGAAAGAUCAAACCAAAAUAGGAAACCUUGGCUUAACUUUCCUACUUCAAGUAGG
This 592-nucleotide long non-coding RNA is filed under the name Malus domestica (apple). RNAcentral's name for it is "long non-coding RNA (MDOM_LNC014065)". The record is from RNAcentral. Lineage: Eukaryota; Viridiplantae; Streptophyta; Magnoliopsida; Rosales; Rosaceae.